GAUGAACGCUAGCGAUAGGCUUAACACAUGCAAGUCGAGGGGCAGCAUGGUCUUAGCUUGCUAAGACUGAUGGCGACCGGCGCACGGGUGCGUAACGCGUAUGCAACUUGCCUCACAGAGGGGGAUAACCCGUCGAAAGACGGACUAAUACCGCGUACACUUGGGAUAGGGCAUCCUGACCCAAGGAAAUGAAAUUCGCUGUGAGAUAGGCAUGCGUCCCAUUAGCUAGUUGGUGAGGUAACGGCUCACCAAGGCGACGAUGGGUAGGGGAACUGAGAGGUUGAACCCCCACACUGGUACUGAGACACGGACCAGACUCCUACGGGAGGCAGCAGUGAGGAAUAUUGGUCAAUGGGCGAGAGCCUGAACCAGCCAAGUCGCGUGAAGGAUGACUGCCUUAUGGAUUGUAAACUUCUUUUAUACGGGAAUAACAAGAGCCACGUGUGGCUCCCUGCAUGUACCGUAUGAAUAAGCAUCGGCUAACUCCGUG
Molecule: ribosomal RNA, 490 nt
Filed under: uncultured bacterium
Lineage: Bacteria
Description: partial 16S ribosomal RNA
Rfam family: Bacterial small subunit ribosomal RNA
Source: RNAcentral